This 593-nucleotide ribosomal RNA is filed under the name Yamadazyma mexicana. RNAcentral's name for it is "SSU rRNA". It matches the Rfam family "Eukaryotic small subunit ribosomal RNA", at positions 947 to 1561 of the family's 1831-position model. The record is from RNAcentral. Lineage: Eukaryota; Fungi; Ascomycota; Pichiomycetes; Serinales; Debaryomycetaceae.
GAAAGCAUUUGCCAAGGACGUUUUCAUUAAUCACGAACGAAAGUUAGGGGAUCGAAGAUGAUCAGAUACCGUCGUAGUCUUAACCAUAAACUAUGCCGACUAGGGAUCGGGUGUUGUCCUUUUUUUGGCGCACUCGGCACCUUACGAGAAAUCAAAGUUUUUGGGUUCUGGGGGGAGUAUGGUCGCAAGGCUGAAACUUAAAGGAAUUGACGGAAGGGCACCACCAGGAGUGGAGCCUGCGGCUUAAUUUGACUCAACACGGGGAAACUCACCAGGUCCAGACACAAUAAGGAUUGACAGAUUGAGAGCUCUUUCUUGAUUUUGUGGGUGGUGGUGCAUGGCCGUUCUUAGUUGGUGGAGUGAUUUGUCUGCUUAAUUGCGAUAACGAACGAGACCUUAACCUACUAAAUAGUGCUGCUAGCAUUUGCUGGUACCACACUUCUUAGAGGGACUACCGAUUUCAAGUCGGUGGAAGUUUGAGGCAAUAACAGGUCUGUGAUGCCCUUAGACGUUCUGGGCCGCACGCGCGCUACCUUGACGGAGCCACUGAGUAUUACCCUUGGCCGAGAGGUCCGGGCAAACCUUGCNNAACU